Molecule: long non-coding RNA, 1609 nt
Filed under: Homo sapiens (human)
Lineage: Eukaryota; Metazoa; Chordata; Mammalia; Primates; Hominidae
Description: non-protein coding LINC01717:10
Source: RNAcentral
GAGCACCCAGGAUGUGUUUUCAUUGGAAUUAGCUAGCCCUGGGAAAGACAGUCCCUCCAGAGUUAGCAACACCCCAAGAUGUCAAAGAUAAAAAUGCAAAAAUUAAAACUCCAUGAUUAACACAACUUUGAAGUCCUUCUCACUUGUCUUUAGAUGAAGGGCAACAUCAUUGCAACAAGUCACACUUUGAGAACUCAAGAGAAUAUGUUUGUUCUGAAAAUCCAGGAAUUAUUGCCAACCCAUGGUUGUCUCCAUAUGUCUUGGGAAAAAUAGGAAAAGGAUUUUUUGAGUUGGUGAUUUGAAUCCAAGACACAAAGAUUCAGGCUCUGGUAAAAAGAUUGUAUAGGCUAUAUUGGCUGACAUAAAAGAGACAUAAAAGGCACACAAUGAAAUCUUAAUAAAUGUAUUGGAUGUUGCAGCAUUAACUGAUGAGCCAGACAAUGUAAAGACCUCAGACUACCAAAUGUUUUGAAAGACGAAUAGUGAAUGUGAAACUGUGAACCAAAAUAGAUUUUUAGAAUCCUUGAAAAAAUAGAGCUAGAGAAAGUCUUUGAGACCAUUGAUUGCAAAUAUUUGAGUUUACAACUGAGCAAAUGGAGAAAAGAGAAGUGACUCGUCAGUCCAACAAGUGGCAGAAUCAGAACCAGACCCCAAUGCUUGGGUCUUCUGUCCCUCCUGGCACCAAAGUCACCUAUCAUAAGUAACUUGAGUUUCAGAGGGGAAGGAAAAGACUACAAUGUCCCAGCACUGUUCCAGACACUUUUUAGGGGACUCCAAGACACCUUGUGUAAUGCCUAUUUUAAGUAGCUGGAAGAUUCUAUAGCAUGGGAAAAGCCCACUGAAGGCAAAAGUAAACAUUACCUAUUGUGGUCCUGGAAAAGAAAAUCAUCUCUCAUUUAUCUCCUGGAGCUGUUUGACGAACUUGUGCCCUGGUUUUACUUUGGGAGCCACCUUUCUCUUUCAGGUGCUGUCUCAGUGGAAUAGUCAACCAAUGUAUCCUACAUUUUGGACCAGCAGAAGGAAGUAAUGAGAACAGAAAACAAAUAAGAAGUGAGUUGGAGGGAGAAGGAGACUUUAGCAUCUUCCUGAAAUCAGGAAGAAAGUUUCAAGAAUAAAGUAAUCCAUAGGGUCAAAUACUGCAGUAAGUUUAAUUAGGAUGAAGACUGCAAAGAUGGUAUUAGUUUGGUACUUAGGACAUUGGUGACCUCCACAGGUGACUUUCAGGAGAAUUAUCUGGGGAACUUGUUGAUAGAAUUUGUGAAUCUCCACCUUUAGGGAUUCUGAUUUAGAAGGAGUAGGAAGAAGGCCUUAGGAUCUCCAUUUAUAACAACCACUACUGAUUAUUUUGAGGCAGGUAGCAUACAGACCACAUUUGAAAGAAACACUAGGUAAGUGUGAUUUUCAUUCAAAGGACAAAAAACAUAAAGUUACCUAAUUCAGGGACCAUUUCAAAGACCAAAUCAAAUCAGUAGCCUGGCUGAUCUGAUCGACUGCGCAGAAACUAGCCAUUACCAUGGCAAAGUGGGGAGGAACAGUCAAUAAAAAGCAAUUGAUGGCCAGGCGCGGUGGCUCACGCCUGUAAUCCCAGCACUUUGGGAGGCCAAGGCGG